UACCAUGGUGGUAACGGGUAACGGGGUGUUAGGGCACGACACCGGAGAGGGAGCCUGAGAAACGGCUACCACAUCCAAGGAUGGCAGCAGGCGCGCAAAUUACCCAAUCCCGACACGGGGAGGUAGUGACAAUAAAUAACAAUACGGGGUUCUUUAGGAUCUCGUAAUUGGAAUGAGUACAAUUUAAAUCUCUUAACGAGGAACAAUUGGAGGGCAAGUCUGGUGCCAGCAGCCGCGGUAAUUCCAGCUCCAAUAGCGUAUAUUAAAGUUGUUGCAGUUAAAAAGCUCGUAGUUGAAUUUCGGGGUCAGUAGGUCGGUCGUGCCACUGGUAUGAACUGGUUUUACUGAUUCCUCCCUCCUGAAGAACUGUAGUGCCAUUAAUUUGGUGUUGCAGGGAAUCAGGACUGUUACUUUGAAAAAAUUAGAGUGUUUAAAGCAGGCUUUAGCUUGAAUACAUUAGCAUGGAAUAAUGAAAUAGGACGUUUGAUCCUAUUUUGUUGGUUUCUAGGAUUGACGUAAUGAUUAAUAGGGAUAGUUGGGGGCAUUAGUAUUCAAUUGUCAGAGGUGAAAUCCUUGGAUUUAUUGAAGACUAACUACUGCGAAAGCAUUUGCCAAGGAUGUUUUCAUUAAUCAAGAACGAAAGUUAGGGGAUCGAAGACGAUCAGAUACCGUCGUAGUCUUAACCAUAAACUAUGCCGACUAGGGAUCGGAUGAUGUUAAUUUUUUAAUGACUCAUCCGGCGCCUUACGGGAAACCAAAGUGUUU
RNAcentral lists this ribosomal RNA (765 nucleotides) under uncultured Glomus. Its description in RNAcentral is "SSU rRNA". It matches the Rfam family "Eukaryotic small subunit ribosomal RNA", at positions 342 to 1108 of the family's 1831-position model. The record is from RNAcentral. Lineage: Eukaryota; Fungi; Glomeromycota; Glomeromycetes; Glomerales; Glomeraceae.